AGGUAGUGACAAGAAAUAACAGUACAAGGCAGUUAAAAUGCUUUGUAAUUGGAAUGAUAGAAAUUUAAAUACUUUUUAAAGUAUCAAUUGGAGGGCAAGUCUGGUGCCAGCAGCCGCGGUAAUUCCAGCUCCAAUAGCGUAUAUUAAAAUUGUUGCAGUUAAAAAGCUCGUAGUUGAAUUUUUGCUAAAAAUAACCGGUCUGCUUUUAUUAAUAAAAGUGGUAUCUUGGUGUGUUUCUAGCAAUAAUGUCCUUUGAAAUGUUUUUUACUUCAAUGUAAAAAGCAAUUUU
RNAcentral lists this ribosomal RNA (289 nucleotides) under Hepatozoon sp. RNAcentral's name for it is "partial small subunit ribosomal RNA". It matches the Rfam family "Eukaryotic small subunit ribosomal RNA", at positions 462 to 753 of the family's 1831-position model. Lineage: Eukaryota; Apicomplexa; Hepatozoidae. The record is from RNAcentral.